GACGAACGCUGGCGGCGUGCUUAACACACGCAAGUCGAACGGUAAGGCCCUUCGGGGUACACGAGUGGCGAACGGGUGAGUAACACGUGGGUGAUCUGCCCUGCACUUCGGGAUAAGCCUGGGAAACUGGGUCUAAUACCGGAUAGGACCACUGCCUGCAUGGGUGGUGGUGGAAAGCUUUUGCGGGGUGGGAUGGGCCCGCGGCCUAUCAGCUUGUUGGUGGGGUGAUGGCCUACCAAGGCGACGACGGGUAGCCGGCCUGAGAGGGUGACCGGCCACACUGGGACUGAGAUACGGCCCAGACUCCUACGGGAGGCAGCAGUGGGGAAUAUUGCACAAUGGGCGCAAGCCUGAUGCAGCGACGCCGCGUGAGGGAUGACGGCCUUCGGGUUGUAAACCUCUUUCAGCACCGACGAAGCGCAAGUGACGGUAGGUGCAGAAGAAGGACCGGCCAACUACGUGCCAGCAGCCGCGGUAA
This 478-nucleotide ribosomal RNA is filed under the name uncultured bacterium. RNAcentral describes it as "partial 16S ribosomal RNA". It matches the Rfam family "Bacterial small subunit ribosomal RNA", at positions 28 to 523 of the family's 1533-position model. The record is from RNAcentral.